AGGUUCUGGGGUGUUACAUGCGUGGUUGCAAACCUCGAGAAGCAGAGAGAAUCUGCCGGAGCCUA
RNAcentral lists this transfer RNA (65 nucleotides) under Leptopelis vermiculatus (vermiculated tree frog). RNAcentral's name for it is "tRNA-Cys". The record is from RNAcentral. Lineage: Eukaryota; Metazoa; Chordata; Amphibia; Anura; Arthroleptidae.